AAAGUCGUAACAAGGUUUCCGUAGGUGAACCUGCGGAAGGAUCAUUACUGAAUGACCUGCGCCUUCUUGUAGCAGACCAGCGCUCAUUGCCAAAAUGGCUUGAUCAACUUCUGGCACAUCUGGGCCAGUUGUUUGUUUGAAAUGAGAGUUUAGGGGGGGGGGGGUUAGGGUUACCCUCUGUGGAGCCCUUUCUUUGGUCUGCUAUGCUUCACAAUCAAACUCGUCGUUGCAUGAUGAUGAUGUGGGUCGCAUCCUUUUGUUGGGUUGCACCCUCAAAGUAUGGAAAUAUAAAUAUAACUUUCAACAACGGAUCUCUUGGCUCUC
This 324-nucleotide unclassified non-coding RNA is filed under the name Basidiomycota sp. RNAcentral describes it as "partial contains small subunit ribosomal RNA, internal transcribed spacer 1, and 5.8S ribosomal RNA". The stretch from base 1 to 47 matches the Rfam family "Eukaryotic small subunit ribosomal RNA", at positions 1785 to 1831 of the family's 1831-position model. Lineage: Eukaryota; Fungi; Basidiomycota. The record is from RNAcentral.